CACGUGUUCAGUUCAUUCUCUUCCCUUUCUUGCAUUGUAGCGGAUAGCAUGAACGGUAUCAGCAUGAGUUUAGGUUGGUCAUCUGAACCCCCUGGCUAAUCUAAAUCGAAUCACUUACUAUAAUGUCCUUAUUACGAAGACUCCCACGUGGUUAAUGACUUGAGGUCAUAGUCAAACUGUAGUCUAGUCAUCCUCAGACCAUCACCUUGUAACAACUGGCAGUGAAACUGAGGACUGCAGUCAUUUGUUUAGGUUUACCAUUGGGACAUGUACAUUCUGUAAUCGGGAUGCCUUGGCAGAUGACCGUGCAAAAUGUAAUACUUUCAAGUUGUGAAAAGGUAAACAAAAAGUGAGGACUGCAGUAACUUGUUCAGAUUCUAUUGAUGCGUUUACCAUCGGGACAUGUACUUUGAGUGAUUUGGAUGCCUUGGUGGAUGACUGCAAACUCUAAUCCUUUAAAGUAGUAAAAGGUUAAGAAAGAACUAGGACUCAAGUCAAAUUUAUAGCUACUACUGAUGGCCUUACUUCUGGGACGCGUGCAUUUAGUGAACAUGGUUUCAGCAACAAGAUGUAAUUGCUUUUUCCAGGUUUGGUUACCCUCUAAAAUAAGUUGAAUAUUUUAUUUUAAAUCAUAUUUAUGAUGUGUAUUGUCUGUUACCAAUAAAAAAUUGACCCUA
Long non-coding RNA from Triplophysa dalaica, 677 nucleotides. RefSeq lists it as uncharacterized. The record is from RefSeq and is a predicted model, not a curated record. The transcript is spliced from 9 exons. Lineage: Eukaryota; Metazoa; Chordata; Actinopteri; Cypriniformes; Nemacheilidae.